CUACACAUGCAAGUCGAACGGUAGCACAGAGAGCUUGCUCUCGGGUGACGAGUGGCGGACGGGUGAGUAAUGUCUGGGAAACUGCCUGAUGGAGGGGGAUAACUACUGGAAACGGUAGCUAAUACCGCAUAACGUCGCAAGACCAAAGAGGGGGACCUUCGGGCCUCUUGCCAUCAGAUGUGCCCAGAUGGGAUUAGCUAGUAGGUGGGGUAACGGCUCACCUAGGCGACGAUCCCUAGCUGGUCUGAGAGGAUGACCAGCCACACUGGAACUGAGACACGGUCCAGACUCCUACGGGAGGCAGCAGUGGGGAAUAUUGCACAAUGGGCGCAAGCCUGAUGCAGCCAUGCCGCGUGUAUGAAGAAGGCCUUCGGGUUGUAAAGUACUUUCAGCGGGGAGGAAGGUGUUGUGGUUAAUAACCGCAGCAAUUGACGUUACCCGCAGAAGAAGCACCGGCUAACUCCGUGCCAGCAGCCGCGGUAAUACGGAGGGUGCAAGCGUUAAUCGGAAUUACUGGGCGUAAAGCGCACGCAGGCGGUCUGUCAAGUCGGAUGUGAAAUCCCCGGGCUCAACCUGGGAACUGCAUUCGAAACUGGCAGGCUAGAGUCUUGUAGAGGGGGGUAGAAUUCCAGGUGUAGCGGUGAAAUGCGUAGAGAUCUGGAGGAAUACCGGUGGCGAAGGCGGCCCCCUGGACAAAGACUGACGCUCAGGUGCGAAAGCGUGGGGAGCAAACAGGAUUAGAUAC
This 745-nucleotide ribosomal RNA is filed under the name Pantoea agglomerans. RNAcentral's name for it is "bacterial SSU rRNA". It matches the Rfam family "Bacterial small subunit ribosomal RNA", at positions 49 to 785 of the family's 1533-position model. Lineage: Bacteria; Pseudomonadati; Pseudomonadota; Gammaproteobacteria; Enterobacterales; Erwiniaceae. The record is from RNAcentral.